GGUCUUUUCCCUCCAACUGUCAUGGAGAUCGCACGGAACCUGUGUCGUCCCGUUAAUUUCAGAUUAUUCGGAUUUCCCUGCAUUGGAAAAAUCCAGCACGAGUAUAUAUACCUAACCUUAUACUGUCAAUUGUUUUAUCUUCUUUAGAUUUGCGAGGAAAUUCUCGAGCCGAAAGCAAAAUAAAAACAUGGAGCAAUACAUUCGACACUUCAAGGAGUACAGACAGAGGAGAUCUCUCCAUUCCCCUUACGUCUUUCAACGACGACAACGAGAAACAUUGCAAGUGAAAAUAACAGAUAAAACAUGGAACUAUUGGAUAUUGUUAUAUGAGAAAUAUUAUUUGGAUCAAUGUAAUUGUAAUAUGGCAACCAAAGGGACACAUAAUCAAAUUUGAAGGACUGCAAUUGAGUAUUCUGAGGACUAUAAUUAACACUAUGCACUUGGGAAAUUUGGUAUUUAUAUCUAAGUACUCUACAUGAAGGAUUCUGAACUUUGGAGACCUAUAAAUGAUAGAUUCAGGACCAUUCAGCUCUUCUACAGUUACACCUCAUACUAUUGGAAUAGACUGGACAAAUAUAAAAUUUCCAUCAUGCCUGAGCACUUUGAAAAAUUUCCUGAUAAUAGAAGGAUAAUUAUGAGACGUCCAAUGGAUUACCAAUACACAAUGGCAGCUUAAAAAUGACGUAUUAUAUUUUUCAAUGUACUUUAUUUAUCAAUUACAUAUUAAUAUAUGUUAAUAAUCAGAUG
Molecule: long non-coding RNA, 747 nt
Filed under: Polistes dominula (European paper wasp)
Lineage: Eukaryota; Metazoa; Arthropoda; Insecta; Hymenoptera; Vespidae
Description: uncharacterized LOC107068857, transcript variant X3
Source: RNAcentral